Long non-coding RNA from Eriocheir sinensis (Chinese mitten crab), 1546 nucleotides. RefSeq lists it as uncharacterized. NCBI's taxonomy places the organism in Eukaryota, Metazoa, Arthropoda, Malacostraca, Decapoda, Varunidae. The transcript is spliced from 4 exons. The record is from RefSeq and is a predicted model, not a curated record.
UAGAAUUAGAUAAAGAAAAGAAGAAUAAAGAAACAGACGACUAAAGAGACGUGGGACCCCGGUGGCAAUAAGUCGGGAAACCUGUGUGGGCCGUCCCGUGAGGGCCACACUCACUGCUGUUUUAUCUCACAGUUGUAUUAAUACGAUGUAGCUUAAGGAUGUCAACUGGUGAACUAUUUCUUGCUAAGUAAAAUCAUCCAAUCAAUCAUUCAAGCAAUCAAACAGUCACAGAAGGAAAAUAAUAAUCAGAAGAAAGAGAGAAACGGAUGCUGCGCCGCGAGCCGUCGCGAGGAUCUCUUUGAACGCUUGUGCGCGUUUUCGAGGCGCUUCGGCCUUCCAUCCCAGAACCGGUAAACGCGGUGAUCGGCGGAUGUUCGGUAUUUGUUUUUAAUUUCAUAAUCCAGUGUGGUAGUUUUAUUCAGCGAGAUCCUGCAUCUUCCCUCCUCGCCUCGGCGGGGCUGCGAAGCGCCAGCGAGCCCAAGGUCUCCCUGGCGAGCAUGGCAGGAAUGGAGGGACCCCUGCAGGGCGCCUCGGCGUCCCCCGGGUCCUCCACGGAGGUGCCGGAGAUCUGCCGGCUACAAGCCAUGGCAGGUGCGGCUGGUUAGCCGUGGUAGGCAAUUCACCUAGGAGAGCAAACUCCGAACAACAAACCCGGGCAGGUGUGGCUCAUUAGCCGUGGUAGGCAAUUCACCUAGGAGAGCAAACUCCGAACAACAAACCCGGGCAGGUGCGGCUCGUUAGCCGUGGUAGGCAAUUCACCUAGGAGAGCAAACUCCGAACAACAAACCCGGGCAGGUGCGGCUCAUUAGCCGUGGUAGGCAAUUCACCUAGGAGAGCAAACUCCGAACAACAAACCCGGGCAGGUGUGGCUCGUUAGCCGUGGUAGGCAAUUCACCUAGGAGAGCAAACUCCGAACAACAAACCCGGGCAGGUGGAGCUCGUUAGCCGUGGUAGGCAAUUCACCUAGGAGAGCAAACUCCGAACAACAAACCCGGGCAGGUGGAGCUCGUUAGCCGUGGUAGGCAAUUCACCUAGGAGAGCAAACUCCGAACAACAAACCCGGGCAGGUGGAGCUCGUUAGCCGUGGUAGGCGGUUCAUCUAGGAGAAGGACAACUCCGAACAAUAAACCCGGGCAGGUGGAGCUCGUCAGCCGUGGUAGGCGGUUCAUCUAGGAGAAGGACAACUCCGAACAAUAAACCCGGGCAGGUGGAGCUCGUCAGCCGUGGCAGGCAGUUCAUCUAGGAGAAGGACAACUCCGAACAAUAAACCCGGGCAGGUGGAGCUCGUCAGCCGUGGCAGGCAGUCUGCCUAGGAGAGCAAACUCCGAACAAUAAACCCGGGCAGGUGGAGCUCGUCAGCCGUGGCAGGCAGUCUGCCUAGGAGAGCAAACUCCGAACAAUAAACACGGGCAGGUGGAGCUCGUCAGCCGUGGCAGGCAGUCUGCCUAGGAGAGCAAACUCCGAACAAUAAACCCGGGCAGGUGGAGCUCGUUAGAUGUCGUAGACAUCCACGUGAUGGGAACACCAAAAUGAAAAUGAAAAAGAA